Molecule: ribosomal RNA, 119 nt
Filed under: Helianthus annuus (common sunflower)
Lineage: Eukaryota; Viridiplantae; Streptophyta; Magnoliopsida; Asterales; Asteraceae
Source: RNAcentral
GGUUGCGAUCAUACCAGCACUAAUGCACCGGAUCCCAUCAGAACUCCGUAGUUAAGCGUGUUUGGGCGAGAGUAGUACUAGGAUCUGUGACCCCCUGGGAAGUCCUCGUGUUACAACCC